UACGUAGGGUGCAAGCGUUAAUCGGAAUUACUGGGCGUAAAGCGUGCGCAGGCGGUUUUGUAAGUUUGUCGUGAAAGCCCCGGGCUCAACCUGGGAAUUGCGAUGAAGACUGCAAGGCUUGAAUCUGGCAGAGGGGGGUAGAAUUCCACGUGUAGCAGUGAAAUGCGUAGAGAUGUGGAGGAACACCGAUGGCGAAGGCAGCCCCCUGGGUCAAGAUUGACGCUAAUGCACGAAAGCGUGGGGAGCAAACAGG
Molecule: ribosomal RNA, 253 nt
Filed under: uncultured bacterium
Lineage: Bacteria
Description: partial 16S ribosomal RNA
Rfam family: Bacterial small subunit ribosomal RNA
Source: RNAcentral